GACGAACGCUGGCGGCGUGCUUAACACAUGCAAGUCGAGCGGUAAGGCCCUUUCGGGGGUACACGAGCGGCGAACGGGUGAGUAACACGUGGGUGACCUGCCCUUAGCUCUGGGAUAAGCCUGGGAAACUGGGUCUAAUACCGGAUAUGACUCCAUGACGCAUGUUGUGGGGUGGAAAGCCUUGUGCGGCUAGGGAUGGGCCCGCGGCCUAUCAGCUUGUUGGUGGGGUGAUGGCCACCAAGGCGACGACGGGUAGCCGGCCUGAGAGGGCGACCGGCCACACUGGGACUGAGACACGGCCCAGACUCCUACGGGAGGCAGCAGUGGGGAAUCUUGCGCAAUGGGCGAAAGCCUGACGCAGCGACGCCGCGUGGGGAUGACGGCCU
This 386-nucleotide ribosomal RNA is filed under the name uncultured bacterium. RNAcentral describes it as "bacterial SSU rRNA". It matches the Rfam family "Bacterial small subunit ribosomal RNA", at positions 28 to 417 of the family's 1533-position model. The record is from RNAcentral.